GAUAGGUUAAGUUAAUAAGGGCGCAUGGUGGAUGCCUUGGCACUAGAAGGCGAUGAAGGACGUGACUAACUACGAUAUGCCUCGGUUAGCUGUAAGUAAGCUUACCCGGGGGUUUCCGAAUGGGGCAACCCGAUCUUAAUGAUCAUCAUCUUUUUGAAUUCAUAGAUUAGAUGAAGCAAACGCUGUGAACUGAAACAUCUAAGUAGCAGUAGGAAAGUAAAGAAAUUUCGAUUCCGUCAGUAGCGGCGAGCGAACGCGGAAGAGCCCAAACCUGGAUGCUUGCAUCCAGGGGUUGUAGGACUGAUGUUGAGUUACAAAGGUAUAAGAUAGCAGAAACAGUUGGGAAGCUGUUCCAAAGAGGGUGACAGGCCCGUAUGCGAAAUCUUGUACUCUCUAAUCAGGAUCCUGAGUACGGCCCAGCACGUGAAAUUGGGUCGGAAUCUGGGAGGACCAUCUCCCAAGGCUAAAUACUAACUAGUGACCGAUAGCGAACAAGUACCGUGAGGGAAAGGUGAAAAGAACCCCGGAAGGGGAGUGAAAUAGUUCUUGAAACCGUGUGCUUACAAGAAGUUCGAGGCCGUUAAUGGCUGAGAGCGUGCUUUUUGUAGAAUGAACCGGAGAGUUACGAUUGCGUGCAAGGUUAAGGUGCAAAGACUGGAGCCGUAGCGAAAGCGAGUCUUAAUAGGGCGAAUCAGUACGUAGUUGUAGACCCGAAACCGAGUGACCUAUCCAUGGUCAGGUUGAAGGUGGGGUAAUACCUACUGGAGGAC
Molecule: ribosomal RNA, 770 nt
Filed under: Oenococcus oeni
Lineage: Bacteria; Bacillati; Bacillota; Bacilli; Lactobacillales; Lactobacillaceae
Description: bacterial LSU rRNA
Rfam family: Bacterial large subunit ribosomal RNA
Source: RNAcentral